UCGGAUGAAGGCAAGGGGAAGCAGCUUGGCGUACAAACUCGGGAUCCAGGCAGCAGAUCAUCCAGAAGCAGGAAAUCCAAAGGAAGAACGACACCUGCUGGAAAGGUUGGAUGGGGGGGCAUUCUUGGAGACCAACCUCCACAGCACCCACAGAGCCCUAUCUCCAGUGUGAGCUCUGACAGAGAGAGGGACUCCAUUGGGUGGUCGAGAGAGCCAAGAUAUCCACCGAGUUCUGACAGAGAAAGGGACUCCGUUGAGAGGCCGAGAGAGCCAAGAUAUCCGCGUGACGCGCCAUCUCAUGGCGAGGACCUCAGAGACCGGCUGAACAGGCCGCCUCAUGAGAGGACGCCUGGCAGCGGCGCGUUCUUCGUCAACAACGGCGCGGACUCCCAGGCCAGGGGGCAGCGGAUGGAGCACAGGCAGCUACAGAUGAUCAACCGCACCAUCAACGACGACAUGGACUCCCUCUCCGUCGGGAGCCACGAGUCCUCCGAGCAGCCCCGUGUCAGCGUGCGGACCAUACACAACAGACCAAGGACCAGAAUAAACCUGGGCUGGUAGCCAGCCAUAUCAUGUGUGACCGACCGUGUCUGUACUCAAAAUCUUGGGAUGCAAUGUCGGAAAAGUUUAUCGAUACCUGGAAACUGGAAAGGGGAAGUUGAGAUGUACAUUUCAGGAACUGAAUUCACUGAUAGAUACUGUAGUCAGGAGCCUAUUGUGUAGAUAAUCAGAGCUGUUAUUUUUUCCUGGAAUGCUGUAAUUGUGUCUUGGUGUGGAUGUUGUGUUGCGUUGGCGCGAUUAUUGAUGACUGAAUAAUAUUGGCUGGGUGUAGGGCAGGAGUUUUUCCUGGAAUUAAUAUGCUGUGAUUGUGUCUUCAGUAACAUUUUGCUCUUUAUAUUUGGAAAGAGAUAGCAGUAACAUUUUGCUUUUGGCCUGUGAAAUUUUAUUAUUUGUGCUGCUUUGGUUUGAGGGAAAGAUUGUGUGCUUGUUUUUGUUUUUAUGCCUAGAAGGAUUUGUGAGAUCUGAAUUCACUGAUAGAUACUGUAGUCAGGAGCCUAUUGUGUAGAUAAUCAGAGCUGUUAUUUUUUCCUGGAAUGCUGUAAUUGUGUCUUGGUGUGGAUGUUGUGUUGCGUUGGCGCGAUUAUUGAUGACUGAAUAAUAUUGGCUGGGUGUAGGGCAGGAGUUUUUCCUGGAAUUAAUAUGCUGUGAUUGUGUCUUCAGUAACAUUUUGCUCUUUAUAUUUGGAAAGAGAUAGCAGUAACAUUUUGCUUUUGGCCUGUGAAAUUUUAUUAUUUGUGCUGCUUUGGUUUGAGGGAAAGAUUGUGUGCUUGUUUUUGUUUUUAUGCCUAGAAGGAUUUGUGAGAUCUGNNNNNNNNNNGUGAAGCCUAUUCAUAGAUCUAUCUCAAGGUGAAAUUUCUAAUGGCAGGACAGGAAAGGAAAUCCACCAGGCAUCAUUCGAACUUUUGUUUCUGAUCCGAUCCCUGAACUAUUUAAGGUCAUGAUCAAGAGAUUGGUAAGGUGGCGUAUUCUGCCAACGGAUUGUGUGCCAGACAGUUGCAUUGUCAACAUGUAUGACCCUGGAGAUUGCAUUCCACCACAUAUAGACAGCCAUGAUUUUGUUCGACCAUUUUGUACUGUUUCAUUCCUCAGUGAAUGCGACAUACUUUUUGGGUCUAGUCUGAAAAUCGCUGGUCCUGGAGAAUUUACGGGCUCAUUUGCAAUUCCUCUGCCUGUUGGGUAUGUUGGUUAUCUUCUCUCGAUUUUCCUCUAUGCUUAUGAAUAUCAUGCAGAAUUGACACUUCCUUUUGCAUGUAGUAUUCACACUUAAUUAUGUAGUGUAUGGAUAGGUCUGAAACUCUGAAUUGAUUAUAUUCCUGGAGAUUUGAGAAUUUUGAUUGCAUAUGAAUUCAAAGACCGUGUCUGAUUCAUUUGCUUACUGCAUGACAUCUUGACUGUACAUGUGUGGAUAGUUUUGAUUUUAUUUUAUUUUUUGACAUUCCGAAGUUCUGAUCUCAUAUGAAUACCAAUAUCAUGCAAAGUCCGUUUGAUACAUGUAAAUGAUAUUGCUUGCUGCAUAGCACAUUGAGGUGCUGAGCUUGUUAGCUUUGAUCUGAAGUUAUCUCAAGUUUGUGCCAAGAUAAGCUAUUUUCUAAUGAUUAUGAGCCAUUUUCUAGUGAUUUUCUUUUUUAUUGUUAUCUUGUCUUUGUUUCUUUACCUGGGUGUCAUGAAUUGUAUGUGAUGUGUGCAGUGAUCUCUGUAGUUUUAUGCUGUCAUUCUUUGCUUCCUUUGCUGAACACUAAAUGUGAACAUUCACAGGUCUGUGCUCGUCAUAAAUGGCAAUGGUGCUGAUGUUGCAAAGCAUUGUGUUCCAGCGGUACCAUCCAAAAGGUUAUAGUUGUAUGUUGCAUUAUUUUUCUGAACUUGAUUUGUUCACCUCUGACAUUAUGCUGGAACUCUGAUUGAUGUACAGGAUAUCCAUUACCUUCAGAAAAAUGGAUCCUGCAAAGCGUCCGUUCAGUUUCAAGGAUGACCCUGAACUGCUGAACAUCACUCCUCUCGAAGCACCAGCUGCACCCGAAACUAGCAGAUCCUCGGAUGAAGGCAAGGGGAAGCAGCUUGGCGUACAAACUCGGGAUCCAGGCAGCAGAUCAUCCAGAAGCAGGAAAUCCAAAGGAAGAACGACACCUGCUGGAAAGGUUGGAUGGGGGGGCAUUCUUGGAGACCAACCUCCACAGCACCCACAGAGCCCUAUCUCCAGUGUGAGCUCUGACAGAGAGAGGGACUCCAUUGGGAGGUCGAGAGAGCCAAGAUAUCCACCGAGUUCUGACAGAGAAAGGGAC
This 2840-nucleotide long non-coding RNA is filed under the name Triticum aestivum (bread wheat). RNAcentral's name for it is "long non-coding RNA (TAES_LNC017442)". Lineage: Eukaryota; Viridiplantae; Streptophyta; Magnoliopsida; Poales; Poaceae. The record is from RNAcentral.